UCCGUAGGGUGCAAGCGUUAAUCGGAAUUACUGGGCGUAAAGCGUGCGCAGGCGGUUUUGUAAGACAGAGGUGAAAUCCCCGGGCUCAACCUGGGAACUGCCUUUGUGACUGCAAGGCUGGAGUGCGGCAGAGGGGGAUGGAAUUCCGCGUGUAGCAGUGAAAUGCGUAGAUAUGCGGAGGAACACCGAUGGCGAAGGCAAUCCCCUGGGCCUGCACUGACGCUCAUGCACGAAAGCGUGGGGAGCAAACAGG
Molecule: ribosomal RNA, 253 nt
Filed under: uncultured bacterium
Lineage: Bacteria
Description: partial 16S ribosomal RNA
Rfam family: Bacterial small subunit ribosomal RNA
Source: RNAcentral